GGUUAAGCGACUAAGCGUACACGGUGGAUGCCCUGGCAGUCAGAGGCGAUGAAGGACGUGCUAAUCUGCGAUAAGCGUCGGUGAGGUGAUAUGAACCGUUAUAACCGGCGAUUUCCGAAUGGGGAAACCCAGUGUGAUUCGUCACACUAUCAUUAACUGAAUCCAUAGGUUAAUGAGGCGAACCGGGGGAACUGAAACAUCUAAGUACCCCGAGGAAAAGAAAUCAACCGAGAUUCCCCCAGUAGCGGCGAGCGAACGGGGAGCAGCCCAGAGCCUGAAUCAGUGUGUGUGUUAGUGGAAGCGUCUGGAAAGGCGCGCGAUACAGGGUGACAGCCCCGUACACAAAAAUGCACAUACUGUGAGCUCGAUGAGUAGGGCGGGACACGUGGUAUCCUGUCUGAAUAUGGGGGGACCAUCCUCCAAGGCUAAAUACUCCUGACUGACCGAUAGUGAACCAGUACCGUGAGGGAAAGGCGAAAAGAACCCCGGCGAGGGGAGUGAAAAAGAACCUGAAACCGUGUACGUACAAGCAGUGGGAGCCUCUUUAUGGGGUGACUGCGUACCUUUUGUAUAAUGGGUCAGCGACUUAUAUUCUGUAGCAAGGUUAACCGAAUAGGGGAGCCGAAGGGAAACCGAGUCUUAACUGGGCGUUAAGUUGCAGGGUAUAGACCCGAAACCCGGUGAUCUAGCCAUGGGCAGGUUGAAGGUUGGGUAACACUAACUGGAGGACCGAACCGACUAAUGUUGAAAAAUUAGCGGAUGACUUGUGGCUGGGGGUGAAAGGCCAAUCAAACCGGGAGAUAGCUGGUUCUCCCCGAAAGCUAUUUAGGUAGCGCCUCGUGAAUUCAUCUCCGGGGGUAGAGCACUGUUUCGGCAAGGGGGUCAUCCCGACUUACCAACCCGAUGCAAACUGCGAAUACCGGAGAAUGUUAUCACGGGAGACACACGGCGGGUGCUAACGUCCGUCGUGAAGAGGGAAACAACCCAGACCGCCAGCUAAGGUCCCAAAGUCAUGGUUAAGUGGGAAACGAUGUGGGAAGGCCCAGACAGCCAGGAUGUUGGCUUAGAAGCAGCCAUCAUUUAAAGAAAGCGUAAUAGCUCACUGGUCGAGUCGGCCUGCGCGGAAGAUGUAACGGGGCUAAACCAUGCACCGAAGCUGCGGCAGCGACACUAUGUGUUGUUGGGUAGGGGAGCGUUCUGUAAGCCUGCGAAGGUGUACUGUGAGGUAUGCUGGAGGUAUCAGAAGUGCGAAUGCUGACAUAAGUAACGAUAAAGCGGGUGAAAAGCCCGCUCGCCGGAAGACCAAGGGUUCCUGUCCAACGUUAAUCGGGGCAGGGUGAGUCGACCCCUAAGGCGAGGCCGAAAGGCGUAGUCGAUGGGAAACAGGUUAAUAUUCCUGUACUUGGUGUUACUGCGAAGGGGGGACGGAGAAGGCUAUGUUGGCCGGGCGACGGUUGUCCCGGUUUAAGCGUGUAGGCUGGUUUUCCAGGCAAAUCCGGAAAAUCAAGGCUGAGGCGUGAUGACGAGGCACUACGGUGCUGAAGCAACAAAUGCCCUGCUUCCAGGAAAAGCCUCUAAGCAUCAGGUAACAUCAAAUCGUACCCCAAACCGACACAGGUGGUCAGGUAGAGAAUACCAAGGCGCUUGAGAGAACUCGGGUGAAGGAACUAGGCAAAAUGGUGCCGUAACUUCGGGAGAAGGCACGCUGAUAUGUAGGUGAAGCGACUUGCUCGUGGAGCUGAAAUCAGUCGAAGAUACCAGCUGGCUGCAACUGUUUAUUAAAAACACAGCACUGUGCAAACACGAAAGUGGACGUAUACGGUGUGACGCCUGCCCGGUGCCGGAAGGUUAAUUGAUGGGGUUAGCGGUAACGCGAAGCUCUUGAUCGAAGCCCCGGUAAACGGCGGCCGUAACUAUAACGGUCCUAAGGUAGCGAAAUUCCUUGUCGGGUAAGUUCCGACCUGCACGAAUGGCGUAAUGAUGGCCAGGCUGUCUCCACCCGAGACUCAGUGAAAUUGAACUCGCUGUGAAGAUGCAGUGUACCCGCGGCAAGACGGAAAGACCCCGUGAACCUUUACUAUAGCUUGACACUGAACAUUGAGCCUUGAUGUGUAGGAUAGGUGGGAGGCUUUGAAGUGUGGACGCCAGUCUGCAUGGAGCCGGCCUUGAAAUACCACCCUUUAAUGUUUGAUGUUCUAACGUUGGCCCCUGAUCGGGGUUGCGGACAGUGUCUGGUGGGUAGUUUGACUGGGGCGGUCUCCUCCUAAAGAGUAACGGAGGAGCACGAAGGUUGGCUAAUCCUGGUCGGACAUCAGGAGGUUAGUGCAAUGGCAUAAGCCAGCUUGACUGCGAGCGUGACGGCGCGAGCAGGUGCGAAAGCAGGUCAUAGUGAUCCGGUGGUUCUGAAUGGAAGGGCCAUCGCUCAACGGAUAAAAGGUACUCCGGGGAUAACAGGCUGAUACCGCCCAAGAGUUCAUAUCGACGGCGGUGUUUGGCACCUCGAUGUCGGCUCAUCACAUCCUGGGGCUGAAGUAGGUCCCAAGGGUAUGGCUGUUCGCCAUUUAAAGUGGUACGCGAGCUGGGUUUAGAACGUCGUGAGACAGUUCGGUCCCUAUCUGCCGUGGGCGCUGGAGAACUGAGGGGGGCUGCUCCUAGUACGAGAGGACCGGAGUGGACGCAUCACUGGUGUUCGGGUUGUCAUGCCAAUGGCACUGCCCGGUAGCUAAAUGCGGAAGAGAUAAGUGCUGAAAGCAUCUAAGCACGAAACUUGCCCCGAGAUGAGUUCUCCCUGACUCCUUGAGAGUCCUGAAGGAACGUUGAAGACGACGACGUUGAUAGGCCGGGUGUGUAAGCGCAGCGAUGCGUUGAGCUAACCGGUACUAAUGAACCGUGAGGCUUAACCUU
This 2904-nucleotide ribosomal RNA is filed under the name Escherichia coli. RNAcentral's name for it is "23S ribosomal RNA". It matches the Rfam family "Bacterial large subunit ribosomal RNA". Lineage: Bacteria; Pseudomonadati; Pseudomonadota; Gammaproteobacteria; Enterobacterales; Enterobacteriaceae. The record is from RNAcentral.